CCUCCCAAAGUGCUGGGAUUACAGGCAUGAGCCACCGCCCCCGGCCUCCUCUGCUGUUAAUCUUAUAUAAACGUGGUACAUUUGUCAAUUUACCAUUGGUACAAUACUAAAUUUCACUCGCCGUGUGAAGAGACCACCAAACAGGUUCUGUGUGAGCAACAAGGCUGUUUAUUUCACCUGGGUGCAGGUGGGCUGAGUCCAAAAAGAGUCAGUGAAUGGAGAUAGGGGUGGGGCCGUUUUAUAGGAUUUGGGUAGGUAGUGGGAAAUUACAGUCAAAGGGGAUUGUUCUCUGUUAGGCAGGAGUGGGGGUCACAAGGUGCUCAGUGGGGGAGCUUUUGAGCCAGGAUGAGCCAGGAGAAGGAAUUUCACAAGGUAAUGUCAUCAGUUAAGGCAGGCACGCGCCAUUUUCACUUCUUUUGUGAUUCUUCAGUUACUUCAGGCCAUCUGGAUGCAUACAUGCAGGUCACAGGGGAUAUGAUGGCUUAGCUUGGGCUCAGAGACCUGAUAUUCCUGUCUUCUUAUAUUAAUAAGAAAAAUAAAACAAAAUAGUGGUAAAGUGUUGGGAUGGUAAAAAUUUUUCGGGGGGUGGUAUGGAAAGAUAAUGGAUGAUGUUUCUCAGGGUUGCUUCUAGCGGGAUUAGGGGUGGCAUGGGAACCUAGAGUGGGAGAGAUUAAGCUGAAGGAAGAUUUUGUGGUAAGGGGUGAUAUUGUGGGGUUGUGAGAAGAAACAGUUGUCAUAUAGAAUGAUUGGUGAUGGCCUGGAUACAGUUUUGUUAUGAAUUGAGAAACUAAACAGAAGACACAAGGUCCAAAUAAGAGAAGGAGAAAAACAGGUAUUAAAUGACUAAGAAUUGGGAGGACCUAGGACAUCCAAUUAGAGAGUGCUCAAGGGGGUUCAGCAUAGCCCUGCCAGCAAAGAUUAUUUAUUUACUUUAAGAGUUAAGAGUGGCGGUUUG
Molecule: long non-coding RNA, 955 nt
Filed under: Homo sapiens (human)
Lineage: Eukaryota; Metazoa; Chordata; Mammalia; Primates; Hominidae
Description: non-protein coding lnc-FAM19A3-5:1
Source: RNAcentral